UUGAAUGGAGCCAGUAGAGCCAAGUGUGGCUUGUGGGCCAAAUUUUGUGUCAUGUUGAUAAUGGUCCAUAAAUUUGUAUAAUUGCUGUGACGAUGUACUGGCUGUCUGAAUGUCUGGAUGCCUUGUCUACACAUCACCGGAUACACGGACUCAUUCAUACAAGGUUUCCACAAUGGGUUGCUAUAUCACACGACUAUACUCGUAUGUACUUGCAGCCCGUUUUACGAUUGUGAUUGCUAUUAUGGCCCGGCCCUCGAAUUCAACCUUUUAUCCGCAAUAAAAUGGAGGAGCCUGGCGGAAUGCUUUUAAUUUUCUGGACCUCGACCCGCUCCUUAAGUGCCUCUUCGC
Drosophila melanogaster (fruit fly) is the source of this 348-nucleotide non-coding RNA. Lineage: Eukaryota; Metazoa; Arthropoda; Insecta; Diptera; Drosophilidae. The record is from Ensembl.